CAGCUUGAUGAUGAUGAUAUCGUGUCCUACAUCCUCACAGGAAUUGAUACUGAGUACAAUCCACUUAUUGAAGCGAUGAGUGUUAGAAUAGAUCCUAUUAGUCUAAGUGAUCUUUAUGCACAACUUUUGUCCACC
Molecule: small nucleolar RNA, 135 nt
Organism: Phragmites australis (common reed)
Lineage: Eukaryota; Viridiplantae; Streptophyta; Magnoliopsida; Poales; Poaceae
Product: small nucleolar RNA Z247
Exons: 1
Source: RefSeq, a predicted model, not a curated record